AUUAGAGUUUGAUCAUGGCUCAGAUUGAACGCUGGCGGCAGGCUUAAACAUGCAAGUCGAGCGGGGAAAGUAGCUUGCUACUUUACCUAGCGGCGGACGGGUGAGUAAUGCUUAGGAAUCUGCCUAUUAGUGGGGGACAACAUCUCGAAAGGGAUGCUAAUACCGCAUACGUCCUACGGGAGAAACGAGGGGACCUUCGGGCCUUGCGCUAAUAGAUGAGCCUAAGUCGGAUUAGCUAGUUGGUGGGGUAAAGGCCUACCAAGGCGACGAUCUGUAGCGGGUCUGAGAGGAUGAUCCGCCAUACUGGGACUGAGACACGGCCCAGACUCCUACGGGAGGCAGCAGUGGGGAAUAUUGGACAAUGGGGGGAACCCUGAUCCAGCCAUGCCGCGUGUGAAGAAGGCCUUUUGGUUGUAAAGCCAUUUAAGCGAGGAGGAGGCUACCGAGAUUAAUACUCUUG
This 460-nucleotide ribosomal RNA is filed under the name uncultured bacterium. RNAcentral describes it as "bacterial SSU rRNA". It matches the Rfam family "Bacterial small subunit ribosomal RNA", at positions 1 to 471 of the family's 1533-position model. The record is from RNAcentral.